UAUAAGAUGCCUGAUUAAAAGGAUAAUUUUGAUAGAAUUAAUCAUGUGAAAAUUCACUCUUAUAA
This 65-nucleotide transfer RNA is filed under the name Longitarsus candidulus. RNAcentral's name for it is "tRNA-Ile". The record is from RNAcentral. Lineage: Eukaryota; Metazoa; Arthropoda; Insecta; Coleoptera; Chrysomelidae.